RNAcentral lists this microRNA (20 nucleotides) under Corchorus capsularis. RNAcentral describes it as "sRNA CCACVL1_27589". Lineage: Eukaryota; Viridiplantae; Streptophyta; Magnoliopsida; Malvales; Malvaceae. The record is from RNAcentral.
GUGUUUUCUUUUUCCUUUUU